GGCCCGUUAGGCUCAGUUGGUUAGAGCGUCGUGCUAAUAACGCGAAGGUCGGGGGUUUUCGAUCCUCACGGGCCA
RNAcentral lists this transfer RNA (75 nucleotides) under Trichonephila inaurata madagascariensis. It matches the Rfam family "tRNA". From Rfam's summary of the family: Transfer RNA (tRNA) molecules are approximately 80 nucleotides in length. The record is from Rfam by way of RNAcentral. Lineage: Eukaryota; Metazoa; Arthropoda; Arachnida; Araneae; Nephilidae.